This 253-nucleotide ribosomal RNA is filed under the name uncultured bacterium. RNAcentral describes it as "partial 16S ribosomal RNA". It matches the Rfam family "Bacterial small subunit ribosomal RNA", at positions 524 to 776 of the family's 1533-position model. The record is from RNAcentral.
UACGUAGGGGGCUAGCGUUGUCCGGAUUUAUUGGGCGUAAAGAGCGUGUAGGCGGCCAGGUAGGUCUGCUGUGAAAACUCGAGGCUCAACCUCGAGACGUCGGCGGAAACCAUCUGGCUAGAGUCCGGAAGAGGAGAGUGGAAUUCCUGGUGUAGCGGUGAAAUGCGCAGAUAUCAGGAGGAACACCGGUGGCGAAGGCGGGUCUCUGGGCCAUUACUGACGCUGAGGAGCGAAAGCGUGGGGAGCGAACAGG